UACGUAGGGCGCAAGCGUUAUCCGGAAUUAUUGGGCGUAAAGAGCUUGUAGGCGGUUUGUCGCGUCUGCCGUGAAAGCCCAGGGCUUAACCCUGGGUCUGCGGUGGGUACGGGCAGACUAGAGUGUGGUAGGGGAGACUGGAAUUCCUGGUGUAGCGGUGAAAUGCGUAGAUAUCAGGAGGAACACCUGUGGUGUAGACAGCUUACUGGACCAUUUCUGACGCUGAGACACGAAAGCGUGGGUAGCAAACAGG
This 253-nucleotide ribosomal RNA is filed under the name uncultured bacterium. RNAcentral's name for it is "partial 16S ribosomal RNA". It matches the Rfam family "Bacterial small subunit ribosomal RNA", at positions 524 to 776 of the family's 1533-position model. The record is from RNAcentral.